AUCUGAAGAUCCCCCUUCCCACCCCCACUAUUUACUUUAUAAUCUAAACCCAGCAUAUUCAUGUAUAUCCUGCUUUCUAUGAAAUUUAUGCUUGUAUGCAUAUGAAGCAUCCUUCUUUUGAGUGGUGUCCUUUCCUAUCGUAUGGUUCCCAUAACAACUUUAUCCUGUGCCUUAGGUUUCAAAUGUAUACACUGUAUAUCGUAAUGCAACAUGUUUAGAGUAUAUGUCUGCUUAUGCCGUGUUCACAUAAUUGUUUAACAUAUGCUGUCCAGCUCUGAGCUGGUUCACUCAAAUUUCCUCUUGAUGAUUGAUGAUCUUGCACUUACUAUGUUGGGAGGUAUUACACCAUAUCCUCUAGCUUUGCUGCAGGUUGAUUGUGGUUGGGUCAAGUAGGGUAGGCUAAGGACAUGUUCCAGACCCAACUUCUCUGUUUUAAGCACCACUUCCUUGCACGUAGGUAGAACAUAAAACUGUCUAGGAUUGUUUGCUAAAAGUGCAUGCUUGCAGGGUUAAUUUAUCACGUGAUUGUUUGUCUCGACGGAUUUGCUCAAUGUGUUGAUCACAAGAUUAUGACUAAUGGUCCCAAGGUGACUAGCAUUUCCUUUCUGUAUCCUAUAUAAGCUGUAGGAUGUCUAAUAAACUUUGGUCUAUGUUUGAACUGCAUUUCGGUGUCAGUGUCUUUCAUGGUCCCCUGAUAUAUAUCAGACUUCUCUGCUGCUCAUCUCAGACCUCAUCGAGCUACCUCAGUGCAGAAAACUAAAGAAACUUUCAUACCUCUAGACCUGCUUAGAAUUAGAUUCUAACAGUUGGGCGCUCGUCCGGCGAAAGGGGGGAGAUCCUCCGACAGAUCCGGAGACCGAAAAUUCGAACACCGCAGAUCGGGAAGGACCUACAAAAGGGUGCAUCCAGACACACAGCCACUGCUAGCCUUAUAGGAUAGGGGGCGCAAGAACUAAGAAGGGUAUGUUGACUCACCAUCCGUCCUCUCCGCUGCAGUGGAAAAAAGACAUUGAAAAAAAAAAAGAUCAACUUCCUAUUUUCGGGUUUGCUGUCUGCUGUAUGCCGAUGACAUCAUGGUCUCUGCUCUGACUGAAAAGAACUGUGAGAAAGCCUCCAUUAUCGUCUGCAAUAUUCUGGUGGACGCUGGUUUCAAAGCAUCAAAAAACAGCUCCAGUGGGUCAAGAAAAAGUUCUCGUGCCUGGGUCACAUCAUAAUGCCAGGUCUUCAAAAAACCUCCACAGUUCAGAUUGAACUGAUCUGGAAGAUUAAAUUCCCACGAACUGUGUAACAGCUCCAAAGUUUUCUGGAGUUCAUAAACUGUUGUCGCUCAUGGAAACCUGAGUGUGCUGCCCAUGACGGACAUUUGCAGAGCCUGAUUGAUCACAAGGCAUCGCCUGCAUCACUGAUAUGCUGGACUGAUGAAGCAGAGACUCAUUUCAUGGCACUGAAACACGCCAUUACUGCGGCCACAACUCUGGGCCAUCCGAACUAUGCAAAAACUUUUUACCUGCAUGCGUGAGAGGCGAAGGGUGUGGCUCUGGGUAUCCUUUGGCAACAACAAGGUUGCACUUAUAGGCCAGUGGCAUAUCUGUCUAGAAAACUAGAUCAUGUAGUUCCAGGUAUGCCUGAAAUGUCUUUAUGCAGUGGCUGCUGAUGUUCUGUUUGUACAGGUGGCUGAGAGAACGGUGCUGUCACAGUCAAUGACUCUACACAUCACAUCAAGUAGGUGCAUUUUUACACAACACAGGAUGGCACAGAGGCGAUCUGGGUAUGAGGCUACGCUGUUGGCAACCAAAAAUGUAACGAUCCAGCCCACUUUUAACAUUAAUUCCACUUUUGCUGGGAGUUUUGGGACUGGUAGAUAUGACUGAGCACGAUCUAAAACAUGAUUGCAUUGUUGAAUUGACCACUUCCUGUUCCUCUAGGGCCGAUUUAAUGGACUCGCCCCUAGAUGGGGGGGUCAGAUCUAUGUGGAUGGCUUAUAUGCAAAGCCAUCGGACGGUGUCUACCUGUGUGGUUAUGCUGUGGUGUCGGAUACUGGUGAGGUUAUUGAAGCCUUUGCUCUAAAUUGCAACUCAGCACAAGCUGCAGAAUUGGUAUUUCUAUUACGAGCUUGUGAGCUAAUGAAAGGAAAAAAGCCACAAUCUACACGACUCAAAAUAUGUGUAUUCUAAAUUUUGUAAAAACAUGGGAAGCCUGAGAUUUUAAGACAGCAGAUGGUAAGCCUAUAGUUUAUUCAAUUUUGAUAUGACGGUUGACAAAAGCAGUACAGCUACCGUCUGAAGUGGCAAUAGUGAAAGUAAAAGGUCAUGAAUCAGGAAAUGAUGACCAGGCUGUGGGAAACAAGAAGAGCAGAUGAGGCUGCAAAAGAAGCAGCUCAAGCUCAAAUUAAAUCACUAUUUGAGUAUGAUGUCAAAACAGACCUUGCUAUGGUUGUGCAAGUGACUAACAUGAAAUUGAUAUAAAAUUUUUGCAGAGUCAACCGACGCAGGCUGACCUCGAAUAUUGGAGCAAGUACGGAUGUGCAGCAGACGAGAAAGGGAGAGUAGCACUUCCAAAACUGGGACUGGUAAUUUUAAUAAGAUAUUACCAUGGUCUAUCACAUACCAGUAGUACAAAGGUGACACAAGCAAUUAAUCCAUUUUAUUAUAUUGCAGAUGUAAAGAAAACCAACAAAUUGAUUUUGGACUCAUGUUUAACCUGUGCAAAAUUGAACCCGCAUCGAAAACCAAAACAUGUAGCGUUGCCACACUUGAGGCACCCUUUUAACAUGAUCAGAUUGAUUUCACGCAUGCUGCCGAUUGGAAAUCUGAAAUAUCUUUUUUAUCCCAUAGAGGAUGCGCAAAAUUUGGACAAAAGGAAAUUAUUCCUCGUUUUGGCAUACCAAAACAAUUGAAUCCGACAACGGGACAUUUUUGUGUCCAAAGUAACGUAGCUCUAAGCUAAAGCGCUGUCUAUUGAUUGGCAUUUUAAUAUUAAACGCGAAAAUUAAACAGAGGAUAACCAAAGCUGCGUUAGAAACAGGAAAAAAAAAAGGGGUAGAUUUGCUACCUGCUUUAUUAUACGAAAUAAGAAUGACUCCAUCUUCAACCAAACAGUUGUCUUCAUUUGAAAAACUAAUGGGUAGGCCAUUUCCCACCCCGUGGGUCAAAGGCCGCGCAGGCGUUUCUUCCCCAGGUGACCUGGAGGUGAUACAAGAAGACUACGUGGUGUCCAUAAUUGAGAAAUUGAACUCUAUCUGUACUAAUUUUCUUUGUCUCUCCCCUCAGAAAAGCCAACUUACAUUUUGCUCCAGGACAGGUUGUUCUAAAUAGGAGCCUGAAGCCCACGCUGGUAUGAGAGCCAAAAUACCUCGGCCCAGAUAAGGUGAUGGCUGUGACAAAGAUGGGAGUUCUGAUUGACAACCAGCUACAGUGGAUUCACGCCUCAGGGUUGAAGUACCACUCUGCCACGGAGCAGGACACCGGAGACAAACCCAGACAACGACUGCUAGUCAUGGAGAUCAACGGAGAACAACGAGUGAGAGAUCUUGAUGGAAGUUCCACUGCCGAGAGGAUUCGAACCGUGUAUAGUGACCAAAGCUUUCAUCAUCUUCAGCGAGCACAUUGUGGAAGCAGAGCAAAGAGUAAUGGAAGACAACGAACGCAUCACACAACCGACCCUGCAAAAGGGAUUCGUAGAUCAUAUGCUGUGGUAUAUGUGUUCAUUUUGAAUGAUGGUGCUCUGAAAGUUUAUAGGAAAAAUAAAAUAAUAAAGUUCUUGGUUUAUUGAAGAAAAAAAGGGGUUAUUUAGUAAAGGGCAAUUUAAUAAACUAUUUGUAACUAUUUGAUUUCUGAAAUUAGGAAAUGUAUUUUCUUAAAGUAUAUGAAACCAUUGCUUUCCAGAUGUGUACCCAUAACCCUGUUAUAUGCCGUGAGAAAUUGAGGGUAACAUUAACUGUGUAGAACAAACAAUGCAUGCCAUAAAUAAUGUAUCUGGAGUAAAUGGAUUUGUGAUAACUCGACCGAUUGCAAUUUCUGGGUGUGGGAAGAAUUGUGAUCCACUAUCGUGUAUCAAAGGGGCCAUUGUGAGAAUCUGAAGAUGCCCCUUCCCACCCCCACUAUUUACUUUAUAAUCUAAACCCAGCAUAUUCAUGUAUAUCCUGCUUUCUAUGAAAUUUAUGCUUGUAUGCAUAUGAAGCAUCCUUCUUUUGAGUGGUGUCCUUUCCUAUGGUAUGGUUCCCAUAACAACUUUAUCCUGUGCCUUAGGUUUCAAAUGUAUACACUGUAUAUCGUAAUGCAACAUGUUUAGAGUAUAUGUCUGCUUAUGCCGUGUUCACAUAAUUGUUUAACAUAUGCUGUCCAGCUCUGAGCUGGUUCACUCAAAUUUCCUCUUGAUGAUUGAUGAUCUUGCACUUACUAUGUUGGGAGGUAUUACACCAUAUCCUCUAGCUUUGCUGCAGGUUGAUUGUGGUUGGGUCAAGUAGGGUAGGCUAAGGACAUGUUCCAGACCCAACUUCUCUGUUUUAAGCACCACUUCCUUGCACGUAGGUAGAACAUAAAACUGUCUAGGAUUGUUUGCCAAAUGCAUGCUUGCAGAGUUAAUUUAUCACGUGAUUGUUUGUCUCGACGGAUUUGCUCAAUGUGUUGAUCACAAGAUUAUGACUAAUGGUCCCAAGGUGACUAGCAUUUCCUUUCUGUAUCCUAUAUAAGCUGUAGGAUGUCUAAUAAACUUUGGUCUAUGUUUGAACUGCA
Non-coding RNA from Misgurnus anguillicaudatus (oriental weatherfish), 4733 nucleotides. Lineage: Eukaryota; Metazoa; Chordata; Actinopteri; Cypriniformes; Cobitidae. The record is from RefSeq and is a predicted model, not a curated record.